GGUGCCGCAGACGCGGGGACGCUGGCUCGCUCCCUCCCUCCCUCCGACGCUAUCAAAUGAUGCUGUUUGGAAAAAUUUCCCAGCAGUUGUGUGGCGUAAAGAAACUCCCAUGGUCAUGUGACUCCAGAUACUUCUGGGGCUGGUUGAAUGCAGUGUUUAAUAAGGUGGAUUAUGAUCGCAUCAGGGAUGUUGGCCCUGACAGGGCGGCAUCCGAGUGGUUGCUGCGCUGUGGGGCCAUGGUGCGCUACCAUGGCCAGGAGAGGUGGCAGAAGGACUACAACCACCUUCCAACAGGCCCUCUGGACAAAUACAAGAUUCAGGCGAUCGAUGCCACCGACUCUUGUAUCAUGAGCAUUGGAUUUGAUCACAUGGAGGGCCUAGAGCAUGUUGAAAAAAUAAGGCUGUGCAAGUGUCAUUAUAUCGAGGAUGACUGUUUGCUGAGACUUAGUCAACUUGAAAAUUUACAAAAAACCAUAUUGGAAAUGGAAAUAAUAUCCUGUGGGAAUAUCACAGACAAAGGCAUCAUUGCUUUGCGUCAUUUAAGAGCCUAGAACACUGCCUGACACUGUAAUAAUCAUCAAAAGCAUGCAUCCACUGGUUAGGAAAGCUGUUCUACAUCCUCUUGUGCCACCAACCAGACCCAUGCCAUGGCCUGGAGCAAGUCACCUAAUCCCAAAUGCAAAAACAGAUAAUACUAGCAAGGA
RNAcentral lists this small RNA (704 nucleotides) under Pongo abelii (Sumatran orangutan). Its description in RNAcentral is "processed transcript". The record is from RNAcentral. Lineage: Eukaryota; Metazoa; Chordata; Mammalia; Primates; Hominidae.